GCGCACGCUGGCGGCAGGCUUAACACCUGCCAGUCGCGCGGACCUUUCGGGGUCAGCGGCGGACGGGUGAGUAACGCGUGGGAACGUGCCUUCCGGUUCGGAAUAACCCUGGGAAACUAGGGCUAAUACCGGAUACGCCCUUAUGGGGAAAGGUUUACUGCCGGAAGAUCGGCCCGCGUCUGAUUAGCUAGUUGGUGGGGUAACGGCCUACCAAGGCGACGAUCAGUAGCUGGUCUGAGAGGAUGAUCAGCCACACUGGGACUGAGACACGGCCCAGACUCCUACGGGAGGCAGCAGUGGGGAAUAUUGGACAAUGGGCGCAAGCCUGAUCCAGCCAUGCCGCGUGAGUGAUGAAGGCCUUAGGGUUGUAAAGCUCUUUUAUCCGGGACGAUAAUGACGGUACCGGAGGAAUAAGCCCCGGCUAACUUCGUG
Molecule: ribosomal RNA, 432 nt
Filed under: uncultured bacterium
Lineage: Bacteria
Description: partial 16S ribosomal RNA
Rfam family: Bacterial small subunit ribosomal RNA
Source: RNAcentral